GACGAAGGAUGCAAGCGUUAUCCGGAUUCAUUGGGUUUAAAGGGAGCGUAGGCGGACUUAUAAGUCAGUGGUGAAAUCUCCUUGCUUAACAAGGAAACUGCCAUUGAUACUGUAGGUCUUGAGUACAGUUGCCGUUGGCGGAAUAUGACAUGUAGUGGUGAAAUACUUAGAUAUGUCAUAGAACACCGAUUGCGAAGGCAGCUAACGAAGCUGUAACUGACACUGAGGCACGAAAGCGUGGGGAUCAAACAGG
This 253-nucleotide ribosomal RNA is filed under the name uncultured bacterium. RNAcentral describes it as "partial 16S ribosomal RNA". It matches the Rfam family "Bacterial small subunit ribosomal RNA", at positions 524 to 776 of the family's 1533-position model. The record is from RNAcentral.